This 497-nucleotide ribosomal RNA is filed under the name uncultured bacterium. RNAcentral's name for it is "partial 16S ribosomal RNA". It matches the Rfam family "Bacterial small subunit ribosomal RNA", at positions 28 to 507 of the family's 1533-position model. The record is from RNAcentral.
GAUGAACGCUGGCGGCGUGCCUAAUACAUGCAAGUCGAGCGAACGGACGAGAAGCUUGCUUCUCUGAUGUUAGCGGCGGACGGGUGAGUAACACGUGGAUAACCUACCUAUAAGACUGGGAUAACUUCGGGAAACCGGAGCUAAUACCGGAUGAUAUUUUGAACCGCAUGGUUCCAAAGUGAAAGACGGUCUUGCUGUCACUUAUAGAUGGAUCCGCGCUGCAUUAGCUAGUUGGUAAGGUAACGGCUUACCAAGGCAACGAUGCAUAGCCGACCUGAGAGGGUGAUCGGCCACACUGGAACUGAGACACGGUCCAGACUCCUACGGGAGGCAGCAGUAGGGAAUCUUCCGCAAUGGGCGAAAGCCUGACGGAGCAACGCCGCGUGAGUGAUGAAGGUCUUCGGAUCGUAAAACUCUGUUAUUAGGGAAGAACAUAUGUGUAAGUAACUGUGCACAUCUUGACGGUACCUAAUCAGAAAGCCACGGCUAACUACGUG